GGGUCAGUAGGUUGGUCGUGCCACCGGUACGUACUGGUCUCACUGAUUCCUCCUUCCUGAAGAACCGUAAUACCAUUAAUUUGGUGUUGCGGGGAAACAGGACUGUUACUUUGAAAAAAUUAGAGUGUUUAAAGCAAGCUAACGCUUGAAUACACUAGCAUGGAAUAAUGAAAUAGGACGAUCGAUCCCAUUUUGUUGGUUUCUAGGAUUGACGUA
RNAcentral lists this ribosomal RNA (216 nucleotides) under Glomeromycotina sp. RNAcentral's name for it is "partial small subunit ribosomal RNA". The stretch from base 40 to 216 matches the Rfam family "Eukaryotic small subunit ribosomal RNA", at positions 686 to 864 of the family's 1831-position model. The record is from RNAcentral. Lineage: Eukaryota; Fungi; Glomeromycota.